GCCUCCCCGCCCGCCGCCGUCGCCGCCUUGCGUCAUCGCCGCCGCCCACACCAUAGAGCGGGGCGGCGCCGGCGGCUAGAGCGGCGCUCGGGGCCGCGCCUCCAGGGCCGCGGGGAGCCGGGGCCGCGCCGCCGGGGCUUGCGUGCCCGCUGGGGCAGAGAGCGGUGGGGUGGGCAGGGGAGGGGGUCUGUCCGUCCUCAGAAGCAUUUCGGACCACAAACUCUCAGCCCACGGAGAUCAGCGCUGGAUUUUCGAGUCGGUCAUUUGUGCUCGUUUGCACGUAUAAGAAGCAAAUUAGGAGCUCGGGACGUCUCCCAACCAACCAAGAAGAAAACGCACAGAAUGCAGCUCGCGAUUCUCAUUUUCGAGUGUUUUGAAAGACGUGACGCGGCCACGCCUCCGGGCAGGAGGGUGCGGGGAGGAAGGGCCGUGCGCUGCUGUCCAGCGCCGCGCGGCCGCCGAGCCACGAGCGGAGCUGCGGGGCGCUGUGAAGUGGGCUUACCGAACUUUGCAGCGGACCUCAGACAGACAACACAGAUAGCUUGCUAAAAUCUGUCUGAUCAAAAACUAUAAGGAAGGCUGACCACGUCAAAUGUGUACACACUGAAGGGAAAAAGUUUGCUUAUGAGUGUUUUUUAUAUGAAAGAGAUAAAAACAGCAGCUCGAUAAAAGGAGCAUCAUAUACUGUGUCUGUUCUGAUUUGCAAGCAACAACGAACAUGGCAGCAUUCACACCAGAUGUAUCCUUGUGGUGCUUCAAGAAACAUGUAAUUUACUUUCAUAAAGCCACUGCAAGCCCUUGCAAUCACAGGUUCUUCCUCUUCAGCUGUCUAUUCCACAUGUUCUCCAUGUUUUAGGUCAGGCAUGACUUCCAGCUGAAAGUUUGGACCUUGCAUUCCAGGUAGCCCAGGAGAUAUGUUUACUUUCAGAGCCUCUCCUGCACAAUUUAGAAACACACCCACAGCAGUUGUGGUAGGAAGUUGUAUAACUGUGAGCAAGAGUCACCUCUGGGAAGGCCAAAAAAAGUGCUCCAAGAAGAAAAUGUACUGCAGGGAUGGGUGAUAUGUCUUUAUUGUUAUAUAUCACUACCAGCAAGAACUGAGCGCAUGACAAGCAAGUGUUACUAGCCAGAACUUCCACCUUGUACUUGUCUGUUCCAGUGUGUAUGACUCACAUGUGAUUACCCUGAAAUUCCCUCCUGGAUAGAGGAGUGGCUGGGAAGACACAAAGUCUUCUGUUUUCAGGUGGGUGGAAAGGUGCUGCUGCUAAGGUUCUAUGAUUUUGUCUUCCUGGGUCAUAUGUGCUAAUUCUCAGAGCACACAUUGAGACUUUCAGUUGCACGAGACAGGGCAUGUAAUCUAGGCAGUCUCCCUGUGCCUUAACCUUGUUUUGUCUUCCUCGUCUGUGAAUAUGAAUACCUACAUAACUGCACAAGCUGGAACCCUUCAGGGCUUCUGGAAAUGUCCAUACCUAGCAAGGAGCCUGAUUAAAACCAGUACUAGCAGCUAGCUGAAAAGGUUAAAUGAGACUGUCCAUGAAACAGCAUAUUUAGUGAUCUGUAGGACCAAAAUGAAGACUAAAAAUAAACGUGUAGAACUGGAUGUUAGGAGUCCCCUA
This 1616-nucleotide long non-coding RNA is filed under the name Phasianus colchicus (ring-necked pheasant). RNAcentral describes it as "lncRNA (ENSPCLG00000004111.1)". Lineage: Eukaryota; Metazoa; Chordata; Aves; Galliformes; Phasianidae. The record is from RNAcentral.